GGAGAGAUGGCAGAGUGGUCGAAUGCGGCGGUCUCGAAAACCGUUUUCCGCCAAUCGGCGGAACGGGGGUUCGAACCCCCCUCUCUCCGCCA
This 92-nucleotide transfer RNA is filed under the name Bacteroidota bacterium. RNAcentral's name for it is "tRNA-Ser". It matches the Rfam family "tRNA". Rfam says of the family: Transfer RNA (tRNA) molecules are approximately 80 nucleotides in length. Their secondary structure includes four short double-helical elements and three loops (D, anti-codon, and T loops). Lineage: Bacteria; Pseudomonadati; Bacteroidota. The record is from RNAcentral.